Molecule: long non-coding RNA, 1889 nt
Filed under: Homo sapiens (human)
Lineage: Eukaryota; Metazoa; Chordata; Mammalia; Primates; Hominidae
Description: HSALNT0142314
Source: RNAcentral
AUUCAGACAUAAUCAUAUUUGAAACUCGUUUUCUAAUUUACUAAGUUUAUAGUCUUUGAUAAAUUACCUGUUUUCUCCAUUUUAGCUCCUUUGCUAGAAAAAAAUGGGAAUAAUUGUACUUACCCGAGGUGCAAGAAAUAUACUAGACUGUGUAAAGCACAAUGGCACCCAGCACAAGCUGUGCAGGUGGUAGCUGGGUUUCAUCAUGAUUACGGACAAUGCCUGCUUUAUUUCUAGGUGGAACACCACUAAUCAGCCACCCACCCACACUGUUAAGUGGGUUGAUGCAGCUGGGCUUCGAUGAGGGCAUGUACUGGAAUCAGACACCCAGCAUCAUCAUUCACCAGGGGAAUGUUCCUCAGUGAAGGAAGUAUAUUUUGGGAACCUCACAUUCCUCAUUUAGAAACUUAGGCACAUAAGAGAAUGUCUGUGAACCUCAGAUUCCUAAUCUGUAAAAUGGGAAUGAUAACACCUGUUUUGCAGGGCUGGUGUUGGGAUUAAAAGAGAUAACUAUGUGAAGUGCUGGAGGAUGAUUCAAAUCCAAUAAAUUACAUUUGUUAUUAUUACUGCCUCGAAUUAUUCUGCUUUCAAUUCUUGGUAAUUUAAAAUUGUUAUCUUUUGAUUUUCUUUUCUAACCUCUUAUAUUAGUUUCUUCUUUGGAUGAUACUCAUUUAGUACUCAAGAACUAUCCCAUCUCUGUCUGCCCUUUACAUAUUGAAACUCUCUUGCUAACUUUGUCUCCCUCCCUCUCUUUCAUAAACCAUUUAUGCCACUUCCCCAGUAUGGAAACAGUAACACACUCCAGGAAAUUCAGUUUCCGUCUUGAAUAUACACCUGCUUUGCAUUCUACCUGCAAUAGCUUGAACCCAUCCAGUAUGGUGUUUAUCACUUUAACUUGACUUUGUUGGUACCCUGAAACAGAAGGAUUCUUUCUCCCUCCCCUCCCCUCCCUCCCUCCCUCCUUUCUUUCUUUCCUUCCUUCCUUCCUUCCUUCCUUCCUUCCUUCCUUCCUUCCUUCCUUCCUUCCUUCCUUCCUUCCCUCCUCUCUUUCUCAAUCUCUCUCUCUCUUUUUUCUCUCUCUCACUCUUUCUUUUUCUCUUUCUGGCACUCCUUUUUUUAAAAAAGAAACUUGUACACACAACAUUGCAUAUACUAUUUCACAGUCAAAAAAUGAUAGAAUAAUUUUUAGGAAAUGAGAGUUGCAGCAAACAAGUAAUAACUAAGGAACUCUUGAACUUUUGUCAUCUUUUUAAGCGAGGGACAUUUUUUAGAAAAUAGAUUGGACUCUAAGAGUAGAUGAACUUUUCUGUGAAAAUAUUCUAAAUUCUGUAAUUUAGAAAAGUAACCCUAUUUGUUUUUUCACUCCUUUAAAAGUUACCUAAAAUUAUGUGGAAGAAGACUGCCAUCUUGAAAUAGUAGUUUGGUUUUGGAACUAUGCAAUUGCAGCAGGCCAAGAAAAAAAAGGAUGAAUUGGAUAAAAUCGAACUCUCCUUCUCAAUAUGGAAGACUUUUGGGGCUUUUUUUGCAAUUGCAAAGGACUGUCAUGGUCUAAAUUGCCAAAUUCUAUGCUUGGUUCUGUUUUCUCUAUAAGUGAAAAUUCCCAUAACCACUGGCCAUCUGAUUAGUAUAUUGAAUUCCAAGAAACAAAGAUCUUGUUUCUCUUCAUGUCUGUUUUGAAAACCUUGCAACUAUAUAAGCAUGAAAUAAAUAUUUCAGGAGUUCUGUAUUGGUUGAGAACACUGAUUUAAAAAGAAUGCAAAAUGAGUCUAGGUAUGAGUUUCAGAAUUAAUAAUUUUAAUAAAUAAAAGUCAUCUUUUUAUAUAGUCAUACAUUUUAUAUACACUAAGUGUUACAUUUUAUUGAAUUAAGAAAGAUUCCUCUACCCAUAG